This 200-nucleotide ribosomal RNA is filed under the name uncultured bacterium. RNAcentral's name for it is "partial 16S ribosomal RNA". It matches the Rfam family "Bacterial small subunit ribosomal RNA", at positions 8 to 209 of the family's 1533-position model. The record is from RNAcentral.
AGAGUUUGAUCAUGGCUCAGGACGAACGCUGGCGGCGUGCUUAACACAUGCAAGUCGAACGCUGAUCCGGUUUCGGUCGGUUAGGAGUGGCGAACGGGUGAGUAACACGUGGGCAAUCUGCCUGCACUCUGGGACAAGCCCUGGAAACGGGGUCUAAUACCGGAUAGGACCUGCUGAGGCAUCUUGGCGGGUGGAAAGCU